AUCUGCUCCAGGAGCUCCACGUCCCUGCUGUCCUGAGGAGCCCAGAACUGGACACAGCACUCCAUCUGUGCCUCACAGCGCUGAGCAGAGGGCAGGAUCACCUCCCUGACCUGCUGGCAAUGCUCUUCCUAAUGCACUCCAGGAUUCUGUUGCCCUCCUUGGCCCCCAGGACACACUCCUGGCUCAAGGGCAGCUGGUUGUCCACCAGGACCUUCUCUUCAUUCCACCCCCACAGUAACACAUCUUCAGAUGGAUUUUAGGGAACAACUCGAGUGCUCUGGAGGAAUGUUGGGGCUCUGUUAUGAGAGGAAUUCCCCUAAGAUCCAUCCUGAUGGAGGCCAAGACCAGGGCACUGUCCCUCUCCUUCACUGAGGCUUGACCUGGGUCACCUCACCCAGCAGGAAUCGUUCCCCAAAUCCCCAUCACUGACCCUUCCUUAGGUGGUUGACAUUCCACAAGUCAAUUAAGGAAUUGCCUGCACUAAAAGGCAGCUAUAAAGUCCUGUGUGAAGAGAGCAGGAAAUAUCCAGGAUAUUCCCACUGUCCAUGGAGGUAACUCAUGAAGAUGGAGAAGGAGGUUUCCUGGCUGAGGUUAUGGCAGCAACCUAUUUUGCCUUGUUUUUGGAGAUUUCCUUGGUUCUGCUGCAAUGGAAAUAAACACACUUAACGAGACUUACCUGGUUGGAAUCAACAUCAGCACUGGAACAGACCAAGCCAAAGGUGUGUUCUUCUUUCUCUCAGUUUGUAUUUUCUGUGCAUGACAAAUUCCAACUGGGGAGCAAAUACUCAAGUUCAAGAACUUCAUCUGCAGAGUGAAACUCCUUCAUCUGUCUGUAGAUGGGCAAAAUAUAACUUAAUUGGGCUUCACCUGCCACAGACACUUCUGUGGUGUGGGAACAGCUUUGGGCUGAAUUCCACCUCCUGUGGUUCACAGAGCUGAACAAAUAAUGUCCUUGCUAGAACUUCCCUGAUUUAUGCCUGAAUUUUAGUGAGAACAACUUUAUGAGUUCUAGAGGACAAAAAGAAUCCACAAAGCAUCUUGUUUGAUGUUUCACUCAAACUCUUAUUAAAACUCAGAGGUGAACAGUUUCUAUGCUGAAAGCAACUUUCCCCUCAUGCUUAAACAUUCUGCAUCCUGGCUGUGUUUGUUGUUCUUUGUCUAGCAGCAAGAUUAAAAUCACGCAUUUUCUUCUGAAGGCAAACCUGACAAAACAGCCACUUUGUUCACUAUCCACCAUCCAGGAUGAUUUUGGACAUAAAAUUAGAAAUUCUAGCAAGCUGGGUCUAGAGACUGACACACAGGACAUCAGAUGCAGAGCUCUGAAAGCACAAAGCAGAGCUCAAUAGAUUUCUGCAGCUGCCUGGUCAGCAAAAAGCCUCCACCUAAUCCUACACAAACACAGAAUGGCAAAUCCAGAGCCACGGAGCUUUCAGGAGCAGAUAAGAAAAGAAAACCCUGAAAUUCUUGGCUUUGGUGAGUCUGUGCAGUGGCUGACCACUUCCAGAAAUGUUAGCUUCCCAAAUAAUGACCAACAAGCUAAAAAAAAAAGGCUUUAAAACUUACAUCGAUAUUGUCAUUUAUAUGUAAAGUUUAGAUCUCUCAAGGCUGUUGGCAAAAGUAGAGGAACCUGAGUGAAUUUUCAGUCCUGUUACAGCACUUUUUCAGCCAGAAAAGGAAACUGAGACAGAAUCAUUUCCAUGUAGCCACUAUUCACAGAUCUAUACUUUAUAUACAGUUUAUUUCACUAGAGAUUUUAAUUUUAUACAUAGUAUAAAGGGGUAUCCUGGUAUCACACAUAUAGUUAUUUUACUGUACUGUUUAAGAACCAAUUUUUACAUAAUACAGUAUUAAGUACCAUAUUAAUUAAAACAAGUGAUUUUUAAAAAAACCCUACAUAUAAAUGGAUGUUUAUCAUAUGCACAGUGCAAGAGUGUUUUUAUAUCCUCAUAAUCACAAAAUGUGAAUCUAAAAUACAACACUGAUUUCAAACUAAUUCAUAAUUACGAUGCCCUGUGUUGUAGACAUUGAUUAAUCUUUGUUUGAAUUACCAAGCAAUGUUAAAAUUCCAGACAAACAGCAGCAGCUUCUCAUGAUGAUUUCAAGAUUUCUUCCACAGUAACCCAAGUUUUACAAAACACUGGUUUAUCCCUACUUCUGGUCUCAACAGUGUCCUAAAGAAACAGGAGAAUGGCACAGAUUCCAUCUGGGAUUAUCUGGCAACUAAUGCUAAAUAAAUUCUUUAUUACUUCCACACAGGAAUCCUUUAAGGAUGAUCAAAGAGGUAAAGCUGGAGAGAUUUAUGGGCAGAACUCUCAGAAUUUUAGUUAUGGAGUACAGGAUUUCUCCUCUGCAAAUUGGAAGACAAUACUGUAAUAAGAAUCAGGUUGGAAUAUUUACAGAAAACCAUUGUGGAAAAGAAAGCAUUCCUAAUGUAAACACCGAGUCAGAAAGGACUUCUUCAUUUUCCCAUUGCAGAGUGGGGCACUGGAUGAACAUCAGCUAAUAAGGAACAGAUGUGUCUCCUUUAGAAGAACCACUUCACCAUCACAGGAUGCAUGUGGUGCUUGUUGAGAAUUGCUAACAGGUUUCUCCCCUCCCUCCCCCCAAAGUUUGAAGUUCAAUAAAUAGUAGAAAAAUAAUCCUUUA
Molecule: long non-coding RNA, 2646 nt
Organism: Corapipo altera (White-ruffed manakin)
Lineage: Eukaryota; Metazoa; Chordata; Aves; Passeriformes; Pipridae
Exons: 4
Source: RefSeq, a predicted model, not a curated record